GCCCGGGUGGCGGAAUUGGUAGACGCGCACGGUUCAGGUCCGUGUGUCCGAGAGGAUGUGCUGGUUCGAAUCCAGUCUCGGGUA
This 84-nucleotide transfer RNA is filed under the name Fidelibacterota bacterium. RNAcentral describes it as "tRNA-Leu". It matches the Rfam family "tRNA". From Rfam's summary of the family: Transfer RNA (tRNA) molecules are approximately 80 nucleotides in length. Their secondary structure includes four short double-helical elements and three loops (D, anti-codon, and T loops). Further hydrogen bonds mediate the characteristic L-shaped molecular structure. tRNAs have two regions of fundamental functional importance: the anti-codon, which is responsible for specific mRNA codon recognition, and the 3' end, to which the tRNAs corresponding amino acid is attached (by aminoacyl-tRNA synthetases). tRNAs cope with the degeneracy of the genetic code in two manners: having more than one tRNA (with a specific anti-codon) for a particular amino acid; and 'wobble' base-pairing, i.e. permitting non-standard base-pairing at the 3rd anti-codon position. The record is from RNAcentral. Lineage: Bacteria; Pseudomonadati; Fidelibacterota.